This 253-nucleotide ribosomal RNA is filed under the name uncultured bacterium. RNAcentral's name for it is "partial 16S ribosomal RNA". It matches the Rfam family "Bacterial small subunit ribosomal RNA", at positions 524 to 776 of the family's 1533-position model. The record is from RNAcentral.
UACGUAGGUGACAAGCGUUGUCCGGAUUUACUGGGCGUAAAGAGCGCGCAGGCGGUCGAUCAAGUCGAGUGUGAAAGCCCCCGGCUCAACUGGGGAGGGUCAUUCGAUACUGAUCGACUCGAAGGCAGGAGAGGGUAGUGGAAUUCCCGGUGUAGUGGUGAAAUGCGUAGAGAUCGGCAGGAACACCCAGGGGGAAACCAGCCGACUGGGCAUCUACUGACGCUGAGGUGCGAGAGCGUGGGGAGCGAACCGG